UUUGCUUUGCGUGCAGGCGGACGCAGGGGUUUGACCCCUUCAGUGGCCUUGUUGACCUCGCUGUAUAAGCUACAAGACCACAUUUGCUAAUAGCCACCGAUAUUGACUCAGCCAUUUUUUUUUUUCAUGCCCUCCUCCCUUGGCCGAGGUUCAGGGGAGUGUGAGGAACCUGAACCGGAACCCGAUCUGACGAUUAUGUGUGCGAGAGCCAUCAGGAGCAGCAGGAGGAGGCCGUGAAGAGGAGGACAGUCACGGGGCAGAAGAUAAUGCUUCUGUCCACUUCAUCACAACGACAUCACAGAACAGACACACACUCACAACCACCUUUUCACGCACACCUGCCUUAACUGAUUGUUAAAUAUCCACUCAGCCAAUCACAUGGCGGCAACCAAGGUGACUUUGAACAUUUGUUGGUGCCAAGUAUCUCACAAACCUCUGAUCUACUGAGAUGUUGGCGCACAACCAUCUGUAGUUUUUCCUCACUCGAUGUGAGGGUCUAAGGAUAGAGGGUGUCCCUUGCUGUACAGGCUGUAAAGCCUUUGGGAGGCAAAUUGUGUUCCUUGACUUGACUUGACUUGGUGUCGCUCUCUUGCCUUUGCAGCAAGAAGACUCAGGUUCACGACCCGGUCAAAACAAGGGCCUUCCUGCAUGGAGUUUGCAUGUUCUCCACGUGUGUGCGUGGGUUUUCUCCGGGUUCUCCGGUUUCCUGCCACAGUCCAAAAACAUGCGACAUCGGGACUAGCUGAGACGAAUCCUCCUUUCAUCCUCUGCUGCAGCGAGGCCCUGGUGUCUGUUCGCACAAAGCCUGACCAUCCCUGACUCCUCGUCAACCCCUUUGCCCAAUUCAUCAAGCGGAGGCCCAUGGGCAUUCAUCACCCCCACCACCUUUCAUAUCCCGCACCAGCUGAAAGCCACUGUCCCUCCUCUGACUUCAAUGCAGCCGUGACACACCCGCAAGAUUUAUAGUGGCAUAAUUAGUAGCAGUGAAAAAGGCCUGCAUGCUUUGGAGGGUCAAUCAUACUGUAUCCCAGUCAGAGGAGCCCUGAAAGACACUCACAUCUGCUUCAGAAUAGAUUGCGCCGCCAUCACAAAAGUUGAUUAAUUGGCCAAAAAACAAGGAGCCCGAGAAAUUCAUCACAGGCCGACAGUGACGCGAGGACAAUCGUACACACUUUGUGUAAUUUAAACACACUGUUCGUCGUCACCAUUCAUUGGAAGUGAGACACCAUCAUAAAUCCCAUCUUUGCACCGCGACACUGCUGCUGCUGCUGCUGCUGCUGGUGGUGAUGAGCAGCUCAUAGUGCCCCCUCAGGACGGGGGUUUCCAAAAACAGCUUGAAGGAGGUUAAAAAUAACAUGCCUAAUAGUUAAAGUGUGUUAUUGAUGUAAUCACACCCGCCCCCUCCUCAUCCUGCUGUCAGUAAUAUCUCAAGAACAGUGAACUAAUUAAAAAACACUUCUGGGGUUUGUUUUCAUUUCACAAAUAAAGUCUUCACUAAACA
Long non-coding RNA from Solea solea (common sole), 1501 nucleotides. RefSeq lists it as uncharacterized. NCBI's taxonomy places the organism in Eukaryota, Metazoa, Chordata, Actinopteri, Pleuronectiformes, Soleidae. The record is from RefSeq and is a predicted model, not a curated record. The transcript has 2 exons.